UUUUACCAGAACCUGUUUUAGCACCUCCAAUACAAUUACGUCCUAUAAAUUUUUAUUUGUUAGGCACAUUUUACACUUAAUUUUACUUUAUUAAUUUUUGUAAGCAUACCUUCUAAAAUCUGAGCAAUUACUCCUUCCUGAAUAUCUGUAGGUUCAUAUAUUGCAAGUGCUUUUAGCGUAUCGAUAAGCCAUGGCGAUAUUCCUAAAUCAGAGAAUGAUUUUCUUGUAUGUUCUGACAUGUUUUCUCCCCGAUGUAAGGGUUUUAUUUAAAUUAAAUAUAAUGGUUACUGUACUGUCAAACCAAACUAUUGGGAUUCAACUUGUUGCCCUUACU
Non-coding RNA from Schizosaccharomyces pombe (fission yeast), 334 nucleotides. Lineage: Eukaryota; Fungi; Ascomycota; Schizosaccharomycetes; Schizosaccharomycetales; Schizosaccharomycetaceae. The record is from the annotation of a GenBank genome assembly.